RNAcentral lists this ribosomal RNA (352 nucleotides) under uncultured bacterium. Its description in RNAcentral is "bacterial SSU rRNA". It matches the Rfam family "Bacterial small subunit ribosomal RNA", at positions 8 to 350 of the family's 1533-position model. The record is from RNAcentral.
AGAGUUUGAUCCUGGCUCAGGAUGAACGCUAGCUACAGGCUUAACACAUGCAAGUCGAGGGGCAGCAUGUUGGUUGCUUGCAACCAACGAUGGCGACCGGCGCACGGGUGAGUAACGCGUAUCCAACCUACCCUUGUCCAUCGGAUAACCCGUCGAAAGGCGGCCUAACACGAUAUGCGGUUCACGGCAGGCAUCUAAGGUGAACGAAAUGUGAAGGAGAAGGAUGGGGAUGCGUCUGAUUAGCUUGUUGGCGGGGUAACGGCCACCAAGGCUACGAUCGAGUAGGGGUUCUGGAGAGGAACGGUCCCCCACAUUGGAACUGAGACACGGUCCAAACUCCGUACGGGAGGCA